Molecule: long non-coding RNA, 843 nt
Organism: Bos taurus (domestic cattle)
Lineage: Eukaryota; Metazoa; Chordata; Mammalia; Artiodactyla; Bovidae
Source: Ensembl
UCAGUGUUCCUCUCAUAGGGAUAUUUCCUUUGAGUAGCAGCACCUUGAUGUUUGAGGAAUUCAAACUGUGGGUUAAAUUCUUUUCACCUGCCUUCAUUAAUCAAGGUUGAAGACUCGCAUGCCAAGCAGUAGAUAGCCUUGGAGGUUCUGCCCUAGUUGUUUUCCAGGAACUUGGGGUCAGCCUGGCUAGUUUGAGCUAAGCCGGUUAGGACUGGAUGCGCCCACAGACCCCUCCCCCCAACUGGAUAUUCCAGCCCUUUGCCUUCAGGGAGCAGUAUCUGAGAUUUGGUCUCCCGCCUUCUUGCUUGGCUGCCUUGCAAAUAACUGCUCUUCCUGCUGCAAAUACCAGCAUUUUGGCCUGGCUUGCAGCAUAAGGGGUAGUACAAUCCUCCUGCCCUAAGGAGAUUGUUGGGUUCCUAGACUAUCAGCUGAGAGGCGUUGGCAGCCUCAUCAUGACGAACACCUGCCACAAAAGGAAACCGUGCAGACUAUAGAAGAGCUAAGAAGCCCAUAUCCUGAUGAUAUGGGCUUAAACCCCUGCCCUGAAGCCAGAUCCAUGUGAGGACUUUCUAUCUAGUUAAAUGCAACAAUGAUUUUCCUGUUACGCAUAAGCUAGCUUGACUUGGGUUCUGUCCCUUGCAACUGAAGAUGGGCUCCCUGAGGAGAGGUUGGAUUAGAGCAUUUCCGCUCUGGCAUGUCAUGUUCGCCCACAUGCACACGCGUGCACGCACACACACACACACACAAUAAAUAAGGGUGCAUAGAGCUCCAAGCCCACUGAGAAAACCGAGGCAUUACUCAUCCGGGCCUUUCCAGAUUUGGUAUUCACUUAAUAUUUUAAGU